RNAcentral lists this ribosomal RNA (441 nucleotides) under uncultured bacterium. Its description in RNAcentral is "partial 16S ribosomal RNA". It matches the Rfam family "Bacterial small subunit ribosomal RNA", at positions 338 to 795 of the family's 1533-position model. The record is from RNAcentral.
CCUACGGGAGGCAGCAGUGGGGAAUAUUGCACAAUGGGGGAAACCCUGAUGCAGCGACGCCGCGUGAGUGAAGAAGUAUUUCGGUAUGUAAAGCUCUAUCAGCAGGGAAGAAGAAAGACGGUACCUGACUAAGAAGCCCCGGCUAACUACGUGCCAGCAGCCGCGGUAAUACGUAGGGGGCAAGCGUUAUCCGGAUUUACUGGUGGUAACGGGCGGGUAGACGGCUGUGCAAGUCUGAAGUGAAAGCCCAGGGCUCAACCCUGGGACUGCUUUGGAAACUGUGGAGCUAGAGUGCUGGAGAGGUAAGUGGAAUUCCUAGUGUAGCGGUGAAAUGCGUAGAUAUUAGGAGGAACACCAGUGGCGAAGGCGGCUUACUGGACAGUAACUGACGUUGAGGCUCGAAAGCGUGGGGAGCAAACAGGAUUAGAUACCCUAGUAGUC